UUUUAAAAAUACUUUAAUCAAUUCUGCAGCAGUUUCGUCCAAUGGCAAGUUCAUAAUGGUAUGUUAUUAAACUAAAAAACUUUUGAAAAUCUUGGUAGUGUAAUUUAAAUACUCUUUCCUUUACUAAGUUUAUUAGAACUCAUCUCAAUCCAUGUCCCCUCUCAAACGAUGUUGGAAGUGACUAUUUAACUAUUGAGUUACACAUUGAAGC
Molecule: long non-coding RNA, 211 nt
Filed under: Carica papaya (papaya)
Lineage: Eukaryota; Viridiplantae; Streptophyta; Magnoliopsida; Brassicales; Caricaceae
Description: long non-coding RNA (CPAP_LNC005839)
Source: RNAcentral